Molecule: ribosomal RNA, 371 nt
Filed under: uncultured organism
Description: bacterial SSU rRNA
Rfam family: Bacterial small subunit ribosomal RNA
Source: RNAcentral
CGUAGGCAGCAAGCGUUGUUCGGAGUUACUGGGCGUAAAGGGUGUGUAGGCGGUUGUUUAAGUUUGGUGUGAAAUCUCCCGGCUCAACUGGGAGGGUGCGCCGAAUACUGAAUGACUUCGAGUGCGGGAGAGGAGAGUGGAAUUCCUGGUGUAGCGGUGAAAUGCGUAGAUAUCAGGAGGAACACCGGCGGUGUAGACGGCUCUCUGGACCGUAACUGACGCUGAGACACGAAAGCGUGGGUAGCAAACAGGAUUAGAUACCCUGGUAGUCCACGCCCUAAACGAUGCACAUUUGGUGUGGGCAGUUCAUUCUGUCCGUGCCGGAGCUAACGCGUUAAAUGUGCCGCCUGGGGAGUACAGUCGCAAGGCUG